This 458-nucleotide ribosomal RNA is filed under the name uncultured bacterium. RNAcentral's name for it is "partial 16S ribosomal RNA". It matches the Rfam family "Bacterial small subunit ribosomal RNA", at positions 338 to 795 of the family's 1533-position model. The record is from RNAcentral.
CCUACGGGCGGCAGCAGUGAGGAAUAUUGGUCAAUGGGCGAGAGCCUGAACCAGCCAAGUCGCGUGAGGGAGUACUGCCCUAUGGGUUGUAAACCUCUUUUGUCGGGGAGCAAAAGCCGGACGUGUCCGGCUGUGAGAGUACCCGAAGAAAAAGCAUCGGCUAACUCCGUGCCCGCAGCCGCGGUAAUACGGAGGAUGCGAGCGUUAUCCGGAUUUAUUGGGUUUAAAGGGUGCGCAGGCGGAUUUUUAAGUUAGCGGUCAAAGCGUGGGGCUCAACCCCAUCCAGCCGUUGAAACUGGGGAACUAGAGUGUGCGAGAGGUAUGCGGAAUGCGUGGUGUAGCGGUGAAAUGCGUAGAUAUUAGGAGGAACACCAGUGGCGAAGGCGGCUUACUGGACAGUAACUGACGUUGAGGCGCGAAAGCGUGGGGAGCAAACAGGAUUAGAUACCCCUGUAGUC